RNAcentral lists this transfer RNA (69 nucleotides) under Tryonicus parvus. RNAcentral describes it as "tRNA-Val". Lineage: Eukaryota; Metazoa; Arthropoda; Insecta; Blattodea; Tryonicidae. The record is from RNAcentral.
CAAAUUAGUUCUAUUAGAAGGGAAUUCAUUUACACUGAAUUUGUUAUUGUGCAAUUCAAUAUAGUUUGA